This is a long non-coding RNA of Phascolarctos cinereus (koala), 1014 nucleotides long. The record is from Ensembl. NCBI's taxonomy places the organism in Eukaryota, Metazoa, Chordata, Mammalia, Diprotodontia, Phascolarctidae.
CACGUGGAUAGCUGGCACUGGCUAGCGGAGACCCUGUUUUCUUCGUGCUCGUGGUUGGGCCAAAAUCGGCUCAGGCAGCAGAAAAAUCACCCGUGCUUUUUUGCAUCCGGGCCUCGGAGGCUGCACUGAGGGCACAGUCGUCUGUGAACAAAACCGAUCACACGCCAGCUCUCCCUCCACUUCGGUCUUGGCUUGCAGCUCGUUUUACUUUCAUGGACUUUGAGUCGGGAAGACCUUCAGGCAGUCACCAGCUUCGCGGCCCCAGGCUACUCACGUCCCUUCCCUCAGCUUCCCCACCUGUAAAAUGGGGAUGAUGACAGUCUCCGCGGCCCAAGGUCGUGGGGAGGGUGGAGACAGAUGCUUAGUAUUUGCAAAGCGUUCUGCAAAUGUCAAAGGGCACAGGGAAGGAAACUGACGGCCUAGGAAGGGAAGGAGUAGAGUCGCCUCGCGAUCAGGGGCGAGGUCUCCUCAGGGAGAAAGCCAGAGGCCAGCUUCCAGUCCCGGCGGCUCCCGGGCUGCACGUGGCCCCGGGCUGCACGUGGCCCCGGGCUGCACGUGGCCCCGGGCUUCACGCGCAUGCUCAGGGAGGGUGCACGUGGCCUCCUCACCACCCCACGUGGUCUCCCGGUCCCGUGUGCGCUCCGGAAGGAGGUCACGCGGGCCCUCUUCCCCAUAACCUGCUGUUCCCAGACCCAGGCCGCCCGCGCACCCGGGCGCAGGCGCAGCUGAGUACUCAGGGGCUCGCCAGCGCCCCCUGCGGAGCGGAGCGGAGCACGGCGCAGCCUCGGGCAGAGGAGCGCCUCCCUACGGACCGCAGCGAGGUCUGGUAAGCUGCUUUCAGAUUAUCUGUUCAUCUACACCACCCUGUAUGUCUUCAUCUCAUGGAUCAUCCUCAGAUGGAACCACAAAGCCAUCUUUUACUCCCCGAACUGAGGGAAUGUUUCCUUCCUCUCCUGCAUGUAAGGUUCAGGGGAGGGCAGAGGGAUAGAGGUGGCCAAGGCACCUUCCUCUGGG